AUUGAACGCUGGCGGCAGGCCUAACACAUGCAAGUCGAGCGGCAGCGGAAAGUAGCUUGCUACUUUGCCGGCGAGCGGCGGACGGGUGAGUAAUGUCUGGGAAACUGCCUGAUGGAGGGGGAUAACUACUGGAAACGGUAGCUAAUACCGCAUAACGUCGCAAGACCAAAGAGGGGGACCUUCGGGCCUCUUGCCAUCAGAUGUGCCCAGAUGGGAUUAGCUAGUAGGUGGGGUAACGGCUCACCUAGGCGACGAUCCCUAGCUGGUCUGAGAGGAUGACCAGCCACACUGGAACUGAGACACGGUCCAGACUCCUACGGGAGGCAGCAGUGGGGAAUAUUGCACAAUGGGCGCAAGCCUGAUGCAGCCAUGCCGCGUGUAUGAAGAAGGCCUUCGGGUUGUAAAGUACUUUCAGCGGGGAGGAAGGUGUUGAGGUUAAUAACCUCAGCAAUUGACGUUACCCGCAGAAGAAGCACCGGCUAACUCCGUGCCAGCAGCCGCGGUAAUACGGAGGGUGCAAGCGUUAAUCGGAAUUACUGGGCGUAAAGCGCACGCAGGCGGUCUGUCAAGUCGGAUGUGAAAUCCCCGGGCUCAACCUGGGAACUGCAUUCGAAACUGGCAGGCUAGAGUCUUGUAGAGGGGGGUAGAAUUCCAGGUGUAGCGGUGAAAUGCGUAGAGAUCUGGAGGAAUACCGGUGGCGAAGGCGGCCCCCUGGACAAAGACUGACGCUCAGGUGCGAAAGCGUGGGGAGCAAACAGG
Molecule: ribosomal RNA, 759 nt
Filed under: uncultured Enterobacteriaceae bacterium
Lineage: Bacteria; Pseudomonadati; Pseudomonadota; Gammaproteobacteria; Enterobacterales; Enterobacteriaceae
Description: bacterial SSU rRNA
Rfam family: Bacterial small subunit ribosomal RNA
Source: RNAcentral